Molecule: ribosomal RNA, 739 nt
Filed under: Priestia megaterium
Lineage: Bacteria; Bacillati; Bacillota; Bacilli; Caryophanales; Bacillaceae
Description: bacterial SSU rRNA
Rfam family: Bacterial small subunit ribosomal RNA
Source: RNAcentral
GUGCUAAUACAUGCAAGUCGAAGCGAACUGAUUAGAAGCUUGCUUCUAUGACGUUAGCGGCGGACGGGUGAGUAACACGUGGGCAACCUGCCUGUAAGACUGGGAUAACUUCGGGAAACCGAAGCUAAUACCGGAUAGGAUCUUCUCCUUCAUGGGAGAUGAUUGAAAGAUGGUUUCGGCUAUCACUUACAGAUGGGCCCGCGGUGCAUUAGCUAGUUGGUGAGGUAACGGCUCACCAAGGCAACGAUGCAUAGCCGACCUGAGAGGGUGAUCGGCCACACUGGGACUGAGACACGGCCCAGACUCCUACGGGAGGCAGCAGUAGGGAAUCUUCCGCAAUGGACGAAAGUCUGACGGAGCAACGCCGCGUGAGUGAUGAAGGCUUUCGGGUCGUAAAACUCUGUUGUUAGGGAAGAACAAGUACGAGAGUAACUGCUCGUACCUUGACGGUACCUAACCAGAAAGCCACGGCUAACUACGUGCCAGCAGCCGCGGUAAUACGUAGGUGGCAAGCGUUAUCCGGAAUUAUUGGGCGUAAAGCGCGCGCAGGCGGUUUCUUAAGUCUGAUGUGAAAGCCCACGGCUCAACCGUGGAGGGUCAUUGGAAACUGGGGAACUUGAGUGCAGAAGAGAAAAGCGGAAUUCCACGUGUAGCGGUGAAAUGCGUAGAGAUGUGGAGGAACACCAGUGGCGAAGGCGGCUUUUUGGUCUGUAACUGACGCUGAGGCGCGAAAGCGUGG